GACGAACGCUGGCGGCGUGCCUAAUACAUGCAAGUAGAACGCACAGUUUAUACCGUAGCUUGCUACACCAUAGACUGUGAGUUGCGAACGGGUGAGUAACGCGUAGGUAACCUGCCUGGUAGCGGGGGAUAACUAUUGGAAACGAUAGCUAAUACCGCAUAAUAUUAAUUAUUGCAUGAUAAUUGAUUGAAAGAUGCAAUUGCAUCACUACCAGAUGGACCUGCGUUGUAUUAGCUAGUAGGUGAGGUAACGGCUCACCUAGGCGACGAUACAUAGCCGACCUGAGAGGGUGAUCGGCCACACUGGGACUGAGACACGGCCCAGACUCCUACGGGAGGCAGCAGUAGGGAAUCUUCGGCAAUGGACGAAAGUCUGACCGAGCAACGCCGCGUGAGUGAAGAAGGUUUUCGGAUCGUAAAGCUCUGUUGUAAGAGAAGAACGGGUGUGAGAGUGGAAAGUUCACACUGUGACGGUAUCUUACCAGAAAGGGACGGCUAACUACGUG
RNAcentral lists this ribosomal RNA (505 nucleotides) under uncultured bacterium. Its description in RNAcentral is "partial 16S ribosomal RNA". It matches the Rfam family "Bacterial small subunit ribosomal RNA", at positions 28 to 507 of the family's 1533-position model. The record is from RNAcentral.